GUGGGGAAUAUUGGACAAUGGGCGAAAGCCUGAUCCAGCCAUGCCGCGUGAGUGAUGAAGGCCCUAGGGUUGUAAAGCUCUUUCACCGGGGAAGAUAAUGACGGUACCCGGAGAAGAAGCCCCGGCUAACUUCGUGCCAGCAGCCGCGGUAAUACGAAGGGGGCUAGCGUUGUUCGGAAUUACUGGGCGUAAAGCGCACGUAGGCGGAUCAGUCAGUUAGGGGUGAAAUCCCAGGGCUCAACCCUGGAACUGCCUUUAAUACUGCUGAUCUAGAGUUCGAGAGAGGUGAGUGGAAUUCCGAGUGUAGAGGUGAAAUUCGUAGAUAUUCGGAGGAACACCAGUGGCGAAGGCGGCUCACUGGCUCGAUACUGACGCUGAGGUGCGAAAGCGUGGGGAGCAAACAGGAUUAGAAACCCGAGUAGUCC
Molecule: ribosomal RNA, 425 nt
Filed under: uncultured bacterium
Lineage: Bacteria
Description: partial 16S ribosomal RNA
Rfam family: Bacterial small subunit ribosomal RNA
Source: RNAcentral